CGGCAAACAGGCUUCCCUUCCGAUGGCGGCUGCAGUCAGUUGGGGUGCUGGUGGGGGUGCCAGCUUCCGUGGCAGUAAGCUGGCCCCAGAGCCGUUUAGAGCUGGCCCGGAAGCCAGGUGGACGCCGGGGAUGCCGUCGGAGGAAACCAUUUCAACAAACCCCCCAAUUUAUUCGAGCUGUGUUUCCUCUGAAAAAGAAACCUGUGCUUGGGAGUCAGAUACUUGAGCUUGAAUCACAAC
Molecule: long non-coding RNA, 240 nt
Organism: Physeter macrocephalus (sperm whale)
Lineage: Eukaryota; Metazoa; Chordata; Mammalia; Artiodactyla; Physeteridae
Exons: 3
Source: RefSeq, a predicted model, not a curated record